RNAcentral lists this ribosomal RNA (494 nucleotides) under uncultured bacterium. RNAcentral describes it as "partial 16S ribosomal RNA". It matches the Rfam family "Bacterial small subunit ribosomal RNA", at positions 355 to 839 of the family's 1533-position model. The record is from RNAcentral.
UAGGGAAUCUUCCACAAUGGACGCAAGUCUGAUGGAGCAACGCCGCGUGAGUGAAGAAGGUUUUCGGAUCGUAAAGCUCUGUUGUUGGUGAAGAAGGAUAGAGGUAGUAACUGGCCUUUAUUUGACGGUAAUCAACCAGAAAGUCACGGCUAACUACGUGCCAGCAGCCGCGGUAAUACGUAGGUGGCAAGCGUUGUCCGGAUUUAUUGGGCGUAAAGCGAACGCAGGCGGAAGAAUAAGUCUGAUGUGAAAGCCCUCGGCUUAACCGAGGAAUUGCAUCGGAAACUGUUUUUCUUGAGUGCAGAAGAGGAGAGUGGAACUCCAUGUGUAGCGGUGGAAUGCGUAGAUAUAUGGAAGAACACCAGUGGCGAAGGCGGCUCUCUGGUCUGCAACUGACGCUGAGGCUCGAAAAGCAUGGGUAGCGAACAGGAUUAGAUACCCUGGUAGUCCAUGCCGUAAACGAUGAGUGCUAAGUGUUGGGGAGGUUUUCCGCC